RNAcentral lists this ribosomal RNA (397 nucleotides) under Bruchidius sp. KE11. Its description in RNAcentral is "partial 12S small subunit ribosomal RNA". Lineage: Eukaryota; Metazoa; Arthropoda; Insecta; Coleoptera; Chrysomelidae. RNAcentral also lists the same sequence under 1 other name. The record is from RNAcentral.
UAAACUAGGAUUAGAUACCCUAUUAUUUUAAACGUUAAUUUAAAAUGCUAAAUUAGUAUUAGUUAUUUUCUUGAAAAUUAAAAAAUUUGGCGGUAUUUUAGUCUUUUCAGAGGAACCUGUCCUGUAAUUGAUAGUCCACGAUAAUAUAUACUUUACUUUUUAGUUUACAUAUCGUCGUAGUUUGAAUAUUUUAAUAGAAGAUAAUAUUCAAGAAUUUUAAUUAAAAAAUAAAUCAGAUCAAGGUGUAGUUUAUAGUAAAGUAGAGAUGGGUUACAUUAAAUUUAUUUAAAGAUAAUUUUUUUUAAAAUUUUUUGAAUGUGGAUUUGAAAGUAAUUUUAAAUAUUAAUUUAAAAUGAUUGUAGCUCUAGAAUAUGUACACAUCGCCCGUCGCUCUUAA